GAGGGUAUAGCUCAGUGGUAGAGCACAUACUUAGCAUGCACAAGGUCUUGGGUUCAAUCUCCAGUACCUGCA
This 72-nucleotide transfer RNA is filed under the name Camelus bactrianus (Bactrian camel). It matches the Rfam family "tRNA". From Rfam's summary of the family: Transfer RNA (tRNA) molecules are approximately 80 nucleotides in length. Lineage: Eukaryota; Metazoa; Chordata; Mammalia; Artiodactyla; Camelidae. The record is from Rfam by way of RNAcentral. RNAcentral also lists the same sequence under 1 other name.